UUGACGGGGGCCCGCACAAGCAGCGGAGCGUGUGGUUUAAUUCGAUGUUACGCGAAAACCUUACCCGGGCUUGACAUGCAGGUAGUAGGGAACCGAGAGGGGACCGACUCUUCGGAGAGCCUGCACAGGUGCUGCAUUGGCUGUCGUCAGCUCGUGCCGUGAGGUGUCCGGUUAAGUCCGGUAACGAGCGCAACCCUCGCCAUAUGUUACAAGUGUCAUAUGGGACUGCCGACAUAAAGUCGGAGGAAGGUGGGGAUGACGUCAAGUCAGCAUGGCCUUUAUGUCCGGGGCUACACACACGCUACAAUGGCCGGUACAAUAGGUAGCAGGACCGCGAGGUGGAGCCAAUCCUUAAAGCCGGUCUCAGUUCAGAUUGCAGGCUGCAACCCGCCUGCAUGAAGUCGGAGUUGCUAGUAACCGCGCGUCAGCAAUAGUGCGGUGAAUACGUUCCCGGGCCUU
RNAcentral lists this ribosomal RNA (459 nucleotides) under uncultured Anaerolineaceae bacterium. RNAcentral describes it as "bacterial SSU rRNA". It matches the Rfam family "Bacterial small subunit ribosomal RNA", at positions 910 to 1382 of the family's 1533-position model. The record is from RNAcentral. Lineage: Bacteria; Bacillati; Chloroflexota; Anaerolineae; Anaerolineales; Anaerolineaceae.